CGUGUAGGCGGUUGGUCAAGUCGGGUGUGAAAGCCCGGGGCUCAGCCUCGGAAGUGCAUCCGAAACUAGCCAGCUAGAGCGCGAUAGAGGAGGGUGGAAUUCCUGGUGUAGCGGUGAAAUGCGUAGAUAUCAGGAGGAACACCGGCGGCGAAGGCGGCCCUCUGGGUCGUUGCUGACGCUGAGACGCGAAAGCGUGGGGAGCAAACAGGAUUAGAUACCCUGGUAGUCCACGCUAUAAACGAUGGGUACUAGGUGUUCGGGGUGUUGACCCCCUGAGUGCCGCAGCUAACGCAUUAACGUACCCCGCCGUGGGACUACGGCCGCAAGGUUAAAA
Molecule: ribosomal RNA, 334 nt
Filed under: uncultured bacterium
Lineage: Bacteria
Description: bacterial SSU rRNA
Rfam family: Bacterial small subunit ribosomal RNA
Source: RNAcentral